Molecule: ribosomal RNA, 407 nt
Filed under: uncultured prokaryote
Also listed under: 1 other name
Description: bacterial SSU rRNA
Rfam family: Bacterial small subunit ribosomal RNA
Source: RNAcentral
UGGGGAAUAUUGGGCAAUGGGCGAAAGCCUGACCCAGCAACGCCGCGUGAAGGAAGAAGGCCUUCGGGUUGUAAACUUCUUUUAUGAGGGAAGAAGGACGUGACGGUACCUCAUGAAUAAGCCACGGCUAACUACGUGCCAGCAGCCGCGGUAAUACGUAGGUGGCAAGCGUUGUCCGGAUUUACUGGGUGUAAAGGGCGCGUAGGCGGACUGACAAGUCAGAUGUGAAAUCCAUGGGCUUAACCCAUGAACUGCAUUUGAAACUAUUGGUCUUGAGUAUCGGAGAGGCAAGCGGAAUUCCUAGUGUAGCGGUGAAAUGCGUAGAUAUUAGGAGGAACACCAGUGGCGAAGGCGGCUUGCUGGACGACAACUGACGCUGAGGCGCGAAAGCGUGGGGAGCAAACAGG